Long non-coding RNA from Lemur catta (Ring-tailed lemur), 711 nucleotides. RefSeq lists it as uncharacterized. The record is from RefSeq and is a predicted model, not a curated record. Lineage: Eukaryota; Metazoa; Chordata; Mammalia; Primates; Lemuridae. The transcript has 3 exons.
UGUGCCGGGCCACUGAGGGAGAAAUUGGGAAGAAAAACAGAAAAGGCACACGCUGAACGGUAACAGGCAUCAGACACUCUUGGCAACUGCUUGAAGCGACAACUGUGUCUCCUUGGCAAUGAGCACUCCAGGAAGAGGCAGGCACAAGCCUGCCUCUGAAUUGCGUAAGAACCUUCCGGCCAUCCAGAUAAAGGAGACUGAUGCUCAGAGAAGGGCCACGUCCUGCCCCAGUUUGAUGGGGCAGAGAGAAGAGAAUCUGCGUUCUUGAGGCAUUUGUAGUGGCUGCUGCCACCAGAGAAGGGAACAGACAAGAAUGUGGUUCCUGGAAGCGCAAGAGGAGGCCAUCUUCGUGAGCCGAGCAGGUGACCCCAGUCUGCGGCCACAAGAAUGAGGCCCUUGUCUGGCAUCUUCUCCAGCAACCUGUUCUGGAUUGACUAAUUACCUCCAGCAACCUGUUGUUCAAUUUAUGAACUCACUGAUCCUGACCUGGUAAGCUUUAGCCCCUGAAUGCCAAAAAUAAAAGUACAGUCACAUCCAUUUAUUUGAAAGAGAAUAGAGAAUGGAUUUAUUUGAUUGUUAUAAGCAGUAAUUCAUGAAUAGUAGCAGGUAACAUUUAUCAAAUGUGUACUUUACUUAAGCCAGGUAUUAUUUCAUUUACUCACUUCUUCAUUUAAUCUUCACAAUAACCUCCCACUAGGUAAAUACUAUCGU